RNAcentral lists this long non-coding RNA (668 nucleotides) under Olea europaea (common olive). RNAcentral's name for it is "long non-coding RNA (OEUR_LNC015180)". Lineage: Eukaryota; Viridiplantae; Streptophyta; Magnoliopsida; Lamiales; Oleaceae. The record is from RNAcentral.
CUACAAUGAAAAUGUAAACAUAAGAGUGGGUACAACUUAAAGGAGUUCAAUACAAAAAGGAAGGCCAGCUUUAGAGUAGAAAUUACACUAUCUGAAACCAGGUGCUAGAAAAUAGAAGCUCAUUUCGAUUAAAAUACCAAUAAAUGUGAAUGGCUCAUUCUUGGAGUGGUUUCUAAAAGUAUUUAGAGAAAAUAUGAGGCACUGAAAAGAGAUAAAACUUCAAGUGAACACGUUGACUAAGAGGUAGACCCAAGGCCCAAACUUAUAUUUUAGCAAAAGAAAAGGAAAAUCAGCUUUCAUAGAACAGUGGAAGAGGUUGACAUCAUAUUCACAGAUGAAAAUUCAAGUUAUUUUAGCAAGAUGUUCUAGAAAAGUCACCAAGGCAAAUCAAAUGGUGCGUCAAGGCACCAAGAGUACUCUCCAUGUGUCAAUUAUUUUAAAAAAAUAGCAGUGAGGUCAAGCAGCACAGACCAUUUACCUGCCAAUUGCCAAUAAUGCCUUUCUAUCUCGCAAGCAAAGGUUAGAAUCCUAUCAUUAAAGUUGAUUCCCUUCACUGCCAUUUACCUGCUUUUAACCACUAAUUUCUAUAAUGAAAUACAACACCACCACAAAGUAAGCCUUAUUCCCACCAAAUUAGGGGUUGGCUAUAUGAUUCAUUUUUGGUCACU